Molecule: non-coding RNA, 103 nt
Organism: Triticum aestivum (bread wheat)
Lineage: Eukaryota; Viridiplantae; Streptophyta; Magnoliopsida; Poales; Poaceae
Source: Rfam
ACUAUAUAAAAAACUUCCAAUUUUAGUGGAACUAUACAGAGAAGAUUAGCAUGGCCCCGACGCAAGGAUGACACACACGAAUUGAGAAAUGAUCCAAAUUUUU